UGGCCAGGGUGAAGGUUAGGUAAAACUAACUGGAGGCCCGAACCCACUUAUGUUGAAAAAUGAGGGGAUGAGCUGUGGAUAGGGGUGAAAGGCCAAACAAACCCGGAGAUAGCUGGUUCUCUCCGAAAUCUAUUUAGGUAGAGCGUCAUGUAUUACUUCUGGGGGUAGAGCACUGUUAUGGCUAGCGGGUCGUCAAGACUUAGUAAACCAUUGCAAACUCCGAAUACCAGAAAGUAUGAGCAUGGCAGACACACUGCGGGUGCUAACGUCCGUAGUGGAAAGGGAAACAACCCAGACCGUCAGCUAAGGUCCCAAAAUUAUAGUUAAGUGGGAAACGAUGUGAAAAGGCCCAGACAGCCAGGAGGUUGGCUUAGAAGCAGCCAUUCCUUUAAAGAGUGCGUAAUAGCUCACUGGUCGAGUCGGUUUGCGCGGAAGAUUUAACGGGGCUAAACUAUAUACCGAAGCUGCGGAUCGCAAUUUAUUGCGAUGGUAGGAGAGCGUUCUGUAAGCCGUUGAAGGUGAACUGUGAGGUUUGCUGGAGGUAUCAGAAGUGCGAAUGCUGACAUGAGUAACGAUAAAGGGGGUGAAAAACCCCCUCGCCAGAAGUCCAAGGUUUCCUACGCAACGUUAAUCGGCGUAGGGUUAGUCGGCCCCUAAGGCGAGGCAGAAAUGCGUAGUCGAUGGGAAACGGGUUAAUAUUCCCGUACUUCAUAUAACUGCGAUGGGAAGACGGAGAAGGUUAGCUCAGCAAGGCGAUGGUUGUCCUUGUUCAAGCGUGUAGAAAUGGUUCUUAGGAAAAUCCGGGAACCUCUAUUUCAAGGCGUGAUAACGAUCCCUCUUUUGGGAGAAGUGAGUGAUACCAUGCUUCCAGGAAAAUCCUCUAAGCUUCAGGUUAUAUGAAACCGUACCCCAAACCGACACAGGUGGACGAGAUGAGAAUUCUAAGGCGCUUGAGAGAACUCGGGUGAAGGAACUAGGCAAAAUGACACCGUAACUUCGGGAGAAGGUGUGCUCUUUGUAGGUGAUAUCACUAGCUGAAUAAGCUAUAGAGAGUUGAAGAUACCAGGUGGCUCCGACUGUUUAUUAAAAACACAGCACUCUGCAAACACGUAAGUGGACGUAUAGGGUGUGACGCCUGCCCGGUGCUUGAAGGUUAAUUGAUGAGGUUAGGAUUCGUCCGAAGCUUUUGAUCGAAGCCCAAGUAAACGGCGGCCGUAACUAUAACGGUCCUAAGGUAGCGAAAUUCCUUGUCGGGUAAGUUCCGACCUGCACGAAUGGCGUAACGAGGGCCACACUGUCUCCACCCGAGACUCAGUGAAAUUGAAAUUGCUGUUAAGAUGCAGUAUACCCGCGGCCAGACGGAAAGACCCCGUGCACCUUUACUACAGCUUUGCAUUGAACUCUGAUUCUACCUGUGUAGGAUAGGUGGGAGACUUUGAAACUUUAACGCUAGUUAGAGUGGAGUCAUCCUUGAAAUACCACCCUGGUAUGGUUGGGGUUCUAACCUAGGUCCGUUAUCCGGAUCGGGAACAAUGCAUGGUGGGUAGUUUGACUGGGGCGGUCUCCUCCCAAAGAGUAACGGAGGAGCGCAAAGGUACCCUCAGCACGGUCGGACAUCGUGCAAUGAGCGCAAAGGUAAAAGGGUGCUUGACUGCGAGACUGACACGUCGAGCAGGUAGGAAACUAGGUCUUAGUGAUCCGGUGGUUCUGAGUGGAAGGACCAUCGCUCAACGGAUAAAAGGUACGCCGGGGAUAACAGGCUGAUACCGCCCAAGAGUUCACAUCGACGGCGGUGUUUGGCACCUCGAUGUCGGCUCAUCACAUCCUGGGGCUGAAGCAGGUCCCAAGGGUAUGGCUGUUCGCCAUUUAAAGUGGUACGCGAGCUGGGUUUAGAACGUCGUGAGACAGUUCGGUCCCUAUCUACCGUGGGCGUUGGAGACUUGAGGGAAGCUGUUCUUAGUACGAGAGGACCGGAAUGGACACACCUCUGGUGUUUCGGUUGUGACGCCAGUCGCAUUGCCGAGUAGCUAUGUGUGGAAAGGAUAACCGCUGAAAGCAUCUAAGCGGGAAGCCCCUCCCAAGAUUAGGUCUCCCUGAUAUUUUAAAUAUCCUAAAGAUCCCUCGAAGACUACGAGGUUGAUAGGCAUGGUGUGGAAGAGUAGUGAUACUUGAAGCUAACAUGUACUAAUUGAUCGUGAGGCUUGACCAU
This 2209-nucleotide ribosomal RNA is filed under the name metagenome. RNAcentral describes it as "bacterial LSU rRNA". It matches the Rfam family "Bacterial large subunit ribosomal RNA", at positions 737 to 2925 of the family's 2925-position model. The record is from RNAcentral.